RNAcentral lists this ribosomal RNA (497 nucleotides) under uncultured bacterium. Its description in RNAcentral is "partial 16S ribosomal RNA". It matches the Rfam family "Bacterial small subunit ribosomal RNA", at positions 28 to 507 of the family's 1533-position model. The record is from RNAcentral.
GAUGAACGCUGGCGGCGUGCCUAAUACAUGCAAGUCGAGCGAACGGACGAGAAGCUUGCUUCCCUGAUGUUAGCGGCGGACGGGUGAGUAACACGUGGAUAACCUACCUAUAAGACUGGGAUAACUUCGGGAAACCGGAGCUAAUACCGGAUGAUAUUUUGAACCGCAUGGUUCAAAAGUGAAAGACGGUCUUGCUGUCACUUAUAGAUGGAUCCGCGCUGCAUUAGCUAGUUGGUAAGGUAACAGCUUACCAAGGCAACGAUGCAUAGCCGACCUGAGAGGGUGAUCGGCCACACUGGAACUGAGACACGGUCCAGACUCCUACGGGAGGCAGCAGUAGGGAAUCUUCCGCAAUGGGCGAAAGCCUGACGGAGCAACGCCGCGUGAGUGAUGAAGGUCUUCGGAUCGUAAAACUCUGUUAUUAGGGAAGAACAUAUGUGUAAGUAACUGUGCACAUCUUGACGGUACCUAAUCAGAAAGCCACGGCUAACUACGUG